UGCUCAGUACGGCGAGUGAGCGGCAAAAGCUCAAAUUUGAAAUCUGGCCCUUGCGGGUCCGAGUUGUAAUUUGAAGAAGCGACUUUGGUGUGGGCUCUUGUCUAUGUUCCUUGGAACAGGACGUCACAGAGGGUGAGAAUCCCGUGCGAUGAGAUGCCCAUUGCCGUGUAAAGCGUUUUCGACGAGUCGAGUUGUUUGGGAAUGCAGCUCUAAGUGGGUGGUAAAUUCCAUCUAAAGCUAAAUAUUGGCGAGAGACCGAUAGCGAACAAGUACAGUGAUGGAAAGAUGAAAAGAACUUUGAAAAGAGAGUGAAAAAGUACGUGAAAUUGUUGAAAGGGAAGGGCAUUAGAUCAGACUUGGUGUUUUACGAUUAUCUUCUCUUCUUGAGUUGUGCACUCGUAUUUCACUGGGCCAGCAUCGAUUCGGAUGGCAAGAUAAUGGCAGUUGAAUGUGGCUUCACUUCGGUGGAGUGUUAUAGCUUCUGCUGAUAUUGCCUGUCUGGAUCGAGGGCUGCGUCUUUUGACUAGGAUGCUGGCGUAAUGAUCUAAUGCCGCCCGUCUUGA
RNAcentral lists this ribosomal RNA (563 nucleotides) under uncultured ascomycetous yeast. RNAcentral describes it as "eukaryotic LSU rRNA". It matches the Rfam family "Eukaryotic large subunit ribosomal RNA", at positions 76 to 657 of the family's 3401-position model. The record is from RNAcentral. Lineage: Eukaryota; Fungi; Ascomycota.